GAUUAUCUAAAUUCUAUUUGUGUCAUGUAAAUUGAGAUAAAAAUUAAUAUAUUAAACCUGUGAUAGAUCUCGAAUAAAUCUUAAAAUGUAUAUGCAAUUCUUUAAAAAAAAUGUUAUUUAAAUAUAUCAAAAUCGAAAAAGUAAAUUUUAAUGCAGCACGUUAAAUAAUGUAUAAGAACUAAUGUUAACAUAAAUAAUACCAAUAUUUACUAAUAAAAACAUUACUAAUAUAAAUAUUACUAAUAUAUUCUAUUCAAAAAGAAAAUUUAUACAUUAUAACAAAUGACUCCUACGUUAGGAAUAUAUACAAAAGAAAAGUUUGAUAAAAAAUUUAUAAAAACAUAUUUUAUAAGUAUAUUUUAUCGUACCAAUAAAAAUAUUCUAUUGCUCAAACUUCCUACUCCAACAUAAAUUCUAAAACUUAAAAUUUGCAAUGCACAUAUUUUAAUCUGAUUCAGAAAAAAUCAAGUUUUUACUCGAAUUUUGGAGUUAAUCUUUUGGUGGGUUUUGUUAUUUUUAUGGAAAUUGAGUUGAAUGGGGAAGUGGGGUUUUUGAAGAAAAUGAUAUUUUCUUGAUUUGGGCUUUGAUCUGAUAAAAAAAUAAACUUUUCCCCUCAUUAUAUGCUUGAAUUUGGUGGGUUUUGAAAAUUUUCCCGAAAAUUUGAGCUGAAUUAGAAAGUGGGGUUUGAAAAAUUCGACAAGAAUCAAGUUUUAUUCCCUAAGAGUUGGGUUGGGGAAGAUAUAAAGUUUAAGCUUUUGAAGGUUUUAGCUAAAUUUCAUGAUGAAGUUGUGGAGGCUAAUGAAACUGUUGCUUCAAGGACCGUCGUUAGAUUUGGUUAUACAAAACCUAAACUGGCUUUGGUAUUUGCAAAUUUGUUGGUUGAUCCAUAUCAAAUAAUGAUGGCUAAUGUUGCAGCUGCAUUAAGAGAGAUCAGCUACGCAAUUGAGAGGAUUGAUGAGGCUGCUGGAGUUGUCGUUCCAUUUGACCCGAAACCUAUUCCUGUGACCUUUCUGCCACAUAUCUUCUUAUCACGUUACUGUUAGUUCAAAUGCCAGGUUGAUCUGCUCACUGAUAGUUAAAUAAUACUUGCCACAUGCUGAUUAUUCUCGAGUGAAGCCUUGCAUUUACGUCCUUUUCCCCCUGUUUACUGUCAGAGUUAUUGGAAUGGUGUUGGUGCUCACUCAAACUACAGAGACUUGAACGAGCCAAUUGAAUUUAGUAGACUCCACUUGAAAAUUUGGAGAUUGUAUUACAGGAAGACAUUCAGAAGCUAUGGGAUUCCGACCCAAAGCUGCAAGCUCACAAGGGAACACCUUUAAGCGACUUCUUUAAUGUCGAAGUUGUGGCUCUUUCUACCUAUGAAGAAAAGGAAGAACAAUUCAAAGAGCAGGUGGCUAGCCUAAGACAACGAUCCAUUCAUUCUAUUGCACCCGAUAGGCUUGGUGGAGAUAGGCGAGCAGUUGUCCUUGCUUCAGGCUUUUCAUUUAGUGCUAAAGAGAUAUGGAAUAUUACAAACGAGAACAAAGACCUUGACCUGCCUGCCCAUAAGGUUAUGGUAGCUGCUGUGCGCUGUGAAGAAAUUGCCCAUGAAAAAUAUGUUGCUUUUACCGAAAAUGAGUACAGCUUGGAAGUUGGAAACUGUGACAAAGUUCAGGUGUUGCUGUCUUGGUAGAUUUCAUCUCAGAUCAAGGAUGCACAACUUUUUGUUAUCUAUGUAAAUACGAUGUAUAUAACCUACAUCCUCUUGUAAAACUUGGCUCCAUGAUAAAUACUAUGAAGUAAAUAGUUUGUCCUGUACAUUGCUACAUUAAAUUUAAUUUUUCUUUACAUGCAUUGCGUUGGGCCCGUGCUAACACGGUGUGGUGGCUCGAGAAAAUUUUAAACUAAGUACAACUUUGGCACAUAAAGAAAUUAUGGUACAAAGGAAAACAAAUGGAGUAGGAUGUUUAUGUAUACAUGUUAUUUGUAUGUUAUUGCUGCUAAGAUAGACUUAAGAAGUAUUGUUAUAUUUUCUCCGUUUCAUAAUAAAUGAAUUGUUGGAUUUUGGCACACAGAUUAAGAAAAAAACAAUAAAGAUAUAAAUUUAACACAAUUUUUCAUUUUUACCCCAAAAAAAAGUUAAUCUUGUAAUAUUUUUUUAAAAGUUAAUUGAUUGUCAAAUUAUAAGGGUAAUUUUGAAAAAUUUUUUAUCACAUUUUGAAACACAAAUAAAUACCUCAAUAAUUUACUUAUUCUGAAACGGAGGGAGUACUAUGUGAUAAGUGUAUAAUUGUGGGGCCACCCUUUUUUUUUUUUUUUUUAAUAAUUUCCCUAUUUAGUAGCAAACAAAAGGGGCAAAUAUUCCCUUUUGUUCACUGGAACUCCUGCUAUAAGGGAAAGAAAAAAGAAAGGCUAUAAGGGAAAGAAAGAAAAAAGAAAGUAAAAGGAUCGUGCAAGCCCAAGGUUUCAACUCCUUUUCCAACAAAUAUAAAAAGGAGAAAUUGGUUUUCUUGCUUGGCUUCUAAGGGUGAAGAAGCAGUACUAUCCCAUACUCUCUCUGUUGGUCCUCUUUUCUUCUUUCAACAUCGAGGGAUUAAUUUCAUAUUUAGACUUGGGAUUGAAUUUUAAAGGCUAAUGAAUUGCAUACCGGAUAGCGGAAACUAGUGCUGGAAAUGAUAAAGGUUUCAAUAACACGGGUUAAAUUACUUGAGGCUCGAAGUACUAUCGUAGCUAGUAAAGCAUUAAGGUUUGGCUUGGCAUAUUGCUCGACGUGAUUCUGUGUAUAGGAUCGAGACUAGACCACUAUAGCGAGCCCAACCAUUGGGCGUACCUCUUUUGUGGCAUUAUUUGUAUUUGGAGCCAGCUGGAGCAUCAUGUACUGGUUUUUCCUGACUCGAGCCAACAUAUGGCAUAUACGAUCUGCGGACAGACCCUCAUAGUGAGCUCUUGGGCGAGGCAUACCUGGAUACAGACUGCGAUUAAAGCUACGCAUGUGAGAUCAUAUCAUUAGAUAUGUGAGCAACAUAUGCUUUAUACUUGCCUCAGAUUGCCUUCGGAAGGCCAUCAUAUGAUCAUUUGUACGACUUAUAUGAUAAGUGCAUCACCUAGGCAAAGUAUAGGUCCUAUAUUAUGAUGAACGUUUUUCUAAAUAUUAUAUAUGAUGCUAAUAAAGUUGGUGCAUAAGUUAUCAGUUCAUAUCGUAUAUGUGUUUUGGUUAGCUCAUUCGUUUUUCAUUUAUCAUUUGACUCAUACGAGCUUCUGUAUUUGUCGAGCUGUUAUUCUGUCUGCUUUCAUACCAGUACGUGUUGUUUAUGUACUUACGUCUCGGGCCCAUCAUAUUUUAUU
This is a long non-coding RNA of Capsicum annuum, 3324 nucleotides long. RefSeq lists it as uncharacterized. NCBI's taxonomy places the organism in Eukaryota, Viridiplantae, Streptophyta, Magnoliopsida, Solanales, Solanaceae. The transcript has 12 exons. The record is from RefSeq and is a predicted model, not a curated record.